Long non-coding RNA from Lotus japonicus, 1218 nucleotides. RefSeq lists it as uncharacterized. The transcript has 5 exons. Lineage: Eukaryota; Viridiplantae; Streptophyta; Magnoliopsida; Fabales; Fabaceae. The record is from RefSeq and is a predicted model, not a curated record.
AUCCAGUUCUCGUCCUUUUCCUCCGUGCCCUGCUCGAUCCAGAAUCCACAACUUCAACCUCGACGCUGCCGUUUCAACCUUCCUAGACGAUACUAUCAUCAACAUCCUCCCCCACCACCGCUGCCGACGCCGUUUCACCCUCCAAGCCCUCUGCGCCCUCUCUGAGCUCUGAUACCGCAAGAUCCUUUGCAAGAAACCGUCCUCAUCCUUCAACGGAACCCACCACAGCGUCUCCCUUUUUCAAUCUCCUCCUUCGCUCCCAGCUUUCACCAGAAGCUGUCUUCUUCUCGAGAGCCACUACUUAGGCCUCACCGCUACCGGUUCAACCUUCCUAGACAACACUCACAAAAACAACCUCAAGCUCCCCACAGGCGACGCAACCACCGCCAUUUCACUCUUUGAACCCUAAUCCCCCCCUCGAGCUCCGAUACCGCAGGUCCAUCGGCAAGAAACCCUAUUUCGCCUGCAACAGAACCCGCCACGGUAGAAUCGACCAUCUUUAACGAGAUCGAAUAAAAACUGUACUUUUGGAACGUAUGCAGAAGACCUGUGCAUCGACUCAUCACAUAGGAGAAGCAAAUACGAGGAUAAGCUUCUGCCUCCUUAUUUGGCAAUGAGGAUUUACUGCAAGUUUAAAUAGAAGCAGAAACGUGCUUUAAGCCACUCAGGUAUGGUGUUAUGUUAAAGCAUUUUCAAAACCAGGAUCCAUCUAUUAAUGGUUGGGGAAGCAAAGUGGAAUUCUCUUGACAGUAACAGGGCAAGGAAUGAAGGAAUCUCCAUGUGAUCUGAAGUAUGGCGAGUUUAGUUUAAUUUGAUUAGCUAUGCUGACACGUUCUUUCAGCUUUGUUUCGUUGGAAGACCUUGCUCUAUUGGUUAUUAUUGCUUUGAAUCUCUUUCAAUUAAAGCUUUAAAAAUACAAGUUGCAGCGUCUAACAUCGUUGCAUAAUCCAUUGGGGCUAUGAACCGAUUCUUUGACCUUAAAGGAGCUUAUAGCUUGCAGUUAUUCGAUGUAAUAGAUAGCACUUAUGCUGAAGUGUAUACUUUUAUUAUGCUGAAGUGUAUACUUUUAUUGAUACAAUUGUAAAUUACUGAAAGAAAUUGUUGGUUACUUUGUUAAGGAAAAAUUUGGGUCAAUGUAAACAAUGAAACAAUGGUCACUUUAAGAAGAUAUUUUUCGUUAGACCAAAAUAAAAUAAGAUGAUAUUUUUCACAUGGUAA